UAAUGGAACUUUCGUUUUAGCUGGUCGUGACCAAGAAACCACCGGCUUUGCUUGGUGGGCUGGGAAUGCCAGACUUAUCAAUUUGUCCGGUAAACUACUUGGAGCUCAUGUAGCCCAUGCCGGAUUAAUCGUAUUCUGGGCCGGAGCAAUGAACCUAUUUGAAGUGGCCCAUUUCGUACCAGAAAAGCCCAUGUAUGAACAAGGGUUGAUUUUACUUCCACACUUAGCUACUCUAGGUUGGGGAGUAGGGCCAGGGGGGGAAGUUCUAGAUACUUUUCCGUACUUUGUAUCUGGCGUACUUCACCUAAUUUCCUCCGCAGUCUUAGGCUUCGGUGGCAUUUAUCACGCGCUUCUGNNNNNNNNNNGGGCCGGAGCAAUGAACCUAUUUGAAGUGGCCCAUUUCGUACCAGAAAAGCCCAUGUAUGAACAAGGGUUGAUUUUACUUCCACACUUAGCUACUCUAGGUUGGGGAGUAGGGCCGGGGGGGGGGAAGUUCUAGAUACUUUUCCGUACUUUGUAU
This 520-nucleotide long non-coding RNA is filed under the name Triticum aestivum (bread wheat). RNAcentral's name for it is "long non-coding RNA (TAES_LNC000929)". Lineage: Eukaryota; Viridiplantae; Streptophyta; Magnoliopsida; Poales; Poaceae. The record is from RNAcentral.